RNAcentral lists this small nuclear RNA (143 nucleotides) under Moschus moschiferus (Siberian musk deer). RNAcentral's name for it is "U2 spliceosomal RNA (ENSMMSG00000004493.1)". It matches the Rfam family "U2 spliceosomal RNA". From Rfam's summary of the family: U2 is a small nuclear RNA (snRNA) component of the spliceosome (involved in pre-mRNA splicing). Complementary binding between U2 snRNA (in an area lying towards the 5' end but 3' to hairpin I) and the branchpoint sequence (BPS) of the intron results the bulging out of an unpaired adenosine, on the BPS, which initiates a nucleophilic attack at the intronic 5' splice site, thus starting the first of two transesterification reactions that mediate splicing. The record is from Rfam by way of RNAcentral. Lineage: Eukaryota; Metazoa; Chordata; Mammalia; Artiodactyla; Moschidae.
AUCGCUUCUCGGCCUUUUGGCUAAGAUCAAGUGUAAAAAAUUGAUUGCAAUAAGAGCUUACCACACUCUGCUGUUUUGAUUCUGAUAAAAGCAUAGCAUCAUUAUUUGGAAUUUACUUUUUUUUUCAAAGUACUGAUCCAUUU